This is a small nuclear RNA of Pygocentrus nattereri (red-bellied piranha), 160 nucleotides long. Its record names the gene U1. It matches the Rfam family "U1 spliceosomal RNA". Rfam says of the family: U1 is a small nuclear RNA (snRNA) component of the spliceosome (involved in pre-mRNA splicing). The record is from Ensembl. Lineage: Eukaryota; Metazoa; Chordata; Actinopteri; Characiformes; Serrasalmidae.
UACCUCACCUGGCAGGCGCUAUGCCGUGAUCACGAAGGCGUCCACCCAGGCGAGGCUCUGCCACUGCGCUUGGGUGGUGCUGACCCUUGCGAAUUCCCCAAAUGCAGGAAUCUCAACUGCAUAAUUUCUGGUAGUGGGGGACUGCAUUCGCUUCCCCCCU